Molecule: ribosomal RNA, 497 nt
Filed under: uncultured bacterium
Lineage: Bacteria
Description: partial 16S ribosomal RNA
Rfam family: Bacterial small subunit ribosomal RNA
Source: RNAcentral
GAUGAACGCUGGCGGCGUGCCUAAUACAUGCAAGUCGAGCGAACGGACGAGAAGCUUGCUUCUCUGAUGUUAGCGGCGGACGGGUGAGUAACACGUGGAUAACCUACCUAUAAGACUGGGAUAACUUCGGGAAACCGGGGCUAAUACCGGAUGAUAUUUUGAACCGCAUGGUUCAAAAGUGAAAGACGGUCUUGCUGUCACUUAUAGAUGGAUCCGCGCUGCAUUAGCUAGUUGGUAAGGUAACGGCUUACCAAGGCAACGAUGCAUAGCCGACCUGAGAGGGUGAUCGGCCACACUGGAACUGAGACACGGUCCAGACUCCUACGGGAGGCAGCAGUAGGGAAUCUUCCGCAAUGGGCGAAAGCCUGACGGAGCAACGCCGCGUGAGUGAUGAAGGUCUUCGGAUCGUAAAACUCUGUUAUUAGGGAAGAACAUAUGUGUAAGUAACUGUGCACAUCUUGACGGUACCUAAUCAGGAAGCCACGGCUAACUACGUG